UAUCACAGCCAUAUCUCCCUGCAGCCCAAGACCGGUUACUCGCUGAUGCUAAGCAGGGCUGUGUCUGGUCUGUACCUAGAUGGGAGACCACAUGGGAAGACUAGGUUGCUGUUGAAA
This is a ribosomal RNA of Danio rerio (zebrafish), 117 nucleotides long. NCBI's taxonomy places the organism in Eukaryota, Metazoa, Chordata, Actinopteri, Cypriniformes, Danionidae. The record is from Ensembl.